RNAcentral lists this ribosomal RNA (484 nucleotides) under uncultured bacterium. RNAcentral describes it as "partial 16S ribosomal RNA". It matches the Rfam family "Bacterial small subunit ribosomal RNA", at positions 29 to 507 of the family's 1533-position model. The record is from RNAcentral.
AGUGAACGCUGGCGGCAGGCCUAACACAUGCAAGUCGAGCGGCAGCGCGGGGGCAACCCUGGCGGCGAGCGGCGGACGGGUGAGGAAUUCGUCGGAAUCUGCCUUUUUGUGGGGGAUAACGUAGGGAAACUUACGCUAAUACCGCAUACGUCCUACGGGAGAAAGUGGGGGACCGCAAGGCCUCACGCAGAAAGAUGAGCCGACGACCGAUUAGCUAGUUGGUGGGGUAAAGGCCCACCAAGGCGACGAUCGGUAGCUGGUCUGAGAGGAUGAUCAGCCACACUGGGACUGAGACACGACCCAGACUCCUACGGGAGGCAGCAGUGGGGAAUAUUGGACAAUGGGCGCAAGCCUGAUCCAGCCAUGCCGCGUGUGUGAAGAAGGCCUUCGGGUUGUAAAGCACUUUUGUCCGGAAAGAAAUCCCUGGAGCUAAUACCUUCGGGGGAUGACGGUACCGGAAGAAUAAGCACCGGCUAACUUCGUG